This 1510-nucleotide ribosomal RNA is filed under the name Candidatus Bathyarchaeota archaeon RBG_16_48_13. RNAcentral describes it as "bacterial SSU rRNA". It matches the Rfam family "Archaeal small subunit ribosomal RNA". Lineage: Archaea; Thermoproteati; Candidatus Bathyarchaeota. The record is from RNAcentral.
CUAGACAAUUCCGGUUGAUCCUGCCGGACCCCACUGCUAUCGGGUUGAGACUAAGCCAUGCGAGUUGAGCGUUUCUUGGCCAUAGUAGAGACGCAGCAUACGGCUCAGUAACACGUGGCUAACCUGCCCUUGAGACGAGGAUAACCCCGGAAACCUGGGGAUAAUCCGCGAUAGAUGAAAGCGCCUGGAAUGGUCUUCCGUCUAAAAGGUGUUAGGACCAUGCUUCCUGACAUCGCUCAAGGAUGGGGCCGCGACUGAUCAGGUUGUUGGCGGGGAAAAGGCCCACCAAGCCUAUAACCAGUACGGGCCAUGAUAGUGGCAGCCCGGAGAUGGGCACUGAGAUAAGGGCCCAGGCCCUACGGGGCGCAGCAGGCGCGAAAACUUCGCAAUGCGCGAAAGCGUGACGAGGUCAGCCCGAGUGCCGUCCGCUGAGGACGGCUUUUCUUUGGUUUAAGGAGCCGGGGGAAUAAGAGGAGGGUAAGUCUGGUGUCAGCCGCCGCGGUAAUACCAGCUUCUCGAGUGGUGGGGGCGAUUAUUGGGCCUAAAGCGUCCGUAGCUUGCUUGUCAAGUCUUCCGUCAAAUCCGACGAUCCAAUCGUUGGCCCGCGGAGGAUACUGUCAAGCUUGGGGGCGGAAGAGGCUGGCGGUAUUCCCAGGGUAGGGGUGAAAUCCUAUAAUCCCGGGAGGACCACCAGUGGCGAAGGCGGCCAGCUAGCACGCGCCCGACGGUGAGGGACGAAAGCUGGGGGAGCAAACCGGAUUAGAUACCCGGGUAGUCCCAGCUGUAAACGAUGCAGACUAGGUGUUGGAACGGCUACGUGCCGCUCCAGUGCCGCAGAGAAGUCAUUAAGUCUGCCGCCUGGGGAGUACGGCCGCAAGGCUGAAACUUAAAGGAAUUGGCGGGGGAGCACCACAAGGGGUGAAGCCUGCGGUUUAAUUGGAGUCAACGCCGGGAACCUUACCAGAGGUGACAGCAGAAUGAAGGUCAGAUCGAAGGUCUUACCAGACAAGCUGAGAGGAGGUGCAUGGCCGUCGCCAGUUCGUGCCGUGAGGUGUCCUGUCAAGUCAGGUAACGAACGAGACCCCAACCCUUAGUUACCAGUAGGUUCCAUUGGAACUUAGGCACACUAAGAGGACCGCCAUCGAUAAGAUGGAGGAAGGAGGGGGCCACGGCAGGUCAGCAUGCCCCGAAUCUUCUGGGCCACACGCGGGCUGCAAUGGUAAGGACAGUGAGAUCCGACCUCGAAAGGGGAAGGCAAUCUCUAAACCUUACCUCAGUUGGAAUCGAGGGCUGCAACCCGCCCUCGUGAACAUGGAAUCCCUAGUAAUCGCGCGUCAUCACCGCGCGGUGAAUACAUCCCUGCUCCUUGCACACACCGCCCGUCGCUCCAUCCGAGUCGGGUUUAUGUGAGGCUCGGUCUUGUUGGCCGUGUCGAACAUGAGUUCGGCGAGGUGGGAGAAGUCGUAACAAGGUGGUCGUAGGGGAACCUGCGGCCGGAUCACCUCCUUAG